GACGUAGGGCGCGAGCGUUGUCCGGAAUCAUUGGGCGUAAAGCGCGCGUAGGCGGCCCGGUAAGUCCGUUGUGAAAGUCAAAGGCUCAACCUUUGAACGCCGAUGGAUACUGCCGGGCUAGAGUCCGGAAGAGGCGAGUGGAAUUCCUGGUGUAGCGGUGGAAUGCGCAGAUAUCAGGAGGAACACCAAUAGCGAAGGCAGCUCGCUGGGACGGUACUGACGCUGAGGCGCGAAAGCGUGGGGAGCGAACAGG
This 253-nucleotide ribosomal RNA is filed under the name uncultured bacterium. RNAcentral describes it as "partial 16S ribosomal RNA". It matches the Rfam family "Bacterial small subunit ribosomal RNA", at positions 524 to 776 of the family's 1533-position model. The record is from RNAcentral.